GGGCAUGUGGUGUAGUUGGUUAUCACGCUCGCUUAGCAUUUCUAUAGCUUGCGAGAGGGGUCCGGUUCAAUCCCGGACAUGUCCA
Molecule: non-coding RNA, 85 nt
Organism: Trametes elegans
Lineage: Eukaryota; Fungi; Basidiomycota; Agaricomycetes; Polyporales; Polyporaceae
Source: the annotation of a GenBank genome assembly